Molecule: ribosomal RNA, 301 nt
Filed under: uncultured bacterium
Lineage: Bacteria
Description: partial 16S ribosomal RNA
Rfam family: Bacterial small subunit ribosomal RNA
Source: RNAcentral
CAGCCGCGCGGUAAUACGAAGGGUGCAAGCGUUAAUCGGAAUUACUGGGCGUAAAGCGUGCGCAGGCGGUUCGCUAAGACAGAUGUGAAAUCCCCGGGCUCAACCUGGGAAUGGCAAUGGAUACUGGCAAGCUAGAGUGUGUCAGAGGAUGGUGGAAUUCCCGGUGUAGCGGUGAAAUGCGUAGAGAUCGGGAGGAACAUCAGUGGCGAAGGCGGCCAUCUGGGACAACACUGACGCUGAGGCACGAAAGCGUGGGGAGCAAACAGGAUUAGAUACCCGCGUAGUCCCUGUCUCUUAUACA